GACGAACGCUGGCGGCGUGCCUAAUACAUGCAAGUCGAGCGGACGGAUGGGAGCUUGCUCCCAGACCGUCAGCGGCGGACGGGUGAGUAACACGUGGGCAACCUGCCUGUAAGACUGGGAUAACUCCGGGAAACCGGGGCUAAUACCGGAUAACUCUUUCCCUCACAUGAGGGAAAGCUGAAAGAUGGCAUCUCGCUAUUACUUACAGAUGGGCCCGCGGCGCAUUAGCUAGUUGGCGAGGUAACGGCUCACCAAGGCGACGAUGCGUAGCCGACCUGAGAGGGUGGUCCGCCACACUGGGACUGAGACACGGCCCAGACUCCUACGGGAGGCAGCAGUAGGGAAUCUUCCGCAAUGGACGAAAGUCUGACGGAGCAACGCCGCGUGAGUGAUGAAGGUUUUCGGAUCGUAAAACUCUGUUGUCAGGGAAGAACAAGUACCGGAGUAACUGCCGGUACCUUGACGGUACCUGACCAGAAAGCCACGGCUAACUACGUG
RNAcentral lists this ribosomal RNA (498 nucleotides) under uncultured bacterium. RNAcentral describes it as "partial 16S ribosomal RNA". It matches the Rfam family "Bacterial small subunit ribosomal RNA", at positions 28 to 507 of the family's 1533-position model. The record is from RNAcentral.